RNAcentral lists this ribosomal RNA (491 nucleotides) under uncultured bacterium. RNAcentral's name for it is "partial 16S ribosomal RNA". It matches the Rfam family "Bacterial small subunit ribosomal RNA", at positions 29 to 507 of the family's 1533-position model. The record is from RNAcentral.
GUGAACGCUGGCGGUAGGCCUAACACAUGCAAGUCGUACGGCAGCACAGUAAGAGCUUGCUCUUACGGGUGGCGAGUGGCGGACGGGUGAGGAAUACCUCGGAAUCUACUUUUUCGUGGGGGAUAACGUAGGGAAACUUACGCUAAUACCGCAUACGACCUACGGGUGAAAGCAGGGGAUCUUCGGACCUUGCGCGAUUGAAUGAGCCGAUGUCGGAUUAGCUAGUUGGCGGGGUAAAGGCCCACCAAGGCGACGAUCCGUAGCUGGUCUGAGAGGAUGAACAGCCACCGUGGAGCUAGGACACGGUCCGGACUCCUACAGGAGGCAACAGUGGGGAAUAUUGGACAAUGGGCGCAAACCUGAUCCAGCCAUACCGAGUGGGUGAAGAAGGCCUUCGGGUUGUAAAGCCCUUUUGUUGGGAAAGAAAAGCAGCAGGUUAAUACCCCGCUGUUCUGACGGUACCCAAAGAAUAAGCACGGGCUAGCUUCGUG